This 323-nucleotide unclassified non-coding RNA is filed under the name Scolecobasidium minimum. RNAcentral describes it as "Ochroconis minima partial internal transcribed spacer region". The stretch from base 1 to 46 matches the Rfam family "Eukaryotic small subunit ribosomal RNA", at positions 1786 to 1831 of the family's 1831-position model. Lineage: Eukaryota; Fungi; Ascomycota; Dothideomycetes; Venturiales; Sympoventuriaceae. The record is from RNAcentral.
AAGUCGUAACAAGGUUUCCGUAGGUGAACCUGCGGAAGGAUCAUUAGCGAGUGGUUUUCCCGCGAGGGAGCUGCCCGACCUGUUGUCAUUUGCGCCGGGGGUGGGGGAUGUGUCGGCGAGAGGGUACCCGGAGGGGACGUUUGUCUCGGAAGGGGGGCCUGGGGCCGGCGCACCGCCGCACCGGGAUUUAAACUUCGGCGGAAGAGGCAGGCGUCGACCUGCCCGCCGCCGGCGGCAAGUCUUUACAUCUUGAGGAGAAGCUGAAGUCUGAAGAAGUGAAAAACGAAGAAGCAAAACUUUCAACAACGGAUCUCUUGGCUCUG